GGUAAACGCUGGCGGCGUGCCUAAAACAUGCAAGUCGAACGGAUAGUCGCAAGAUUAUCAGUGGCAGACGGCUGAGUAACGCGUGGGUGACGUGCCGAUAGGUGGGGAAUAACUGCCCGAAAGGGUGGCUAAUACCGCAUACGUCCACUGAUUCGUUUUCAGUGGGGAAAGCUUCGCAAGAGGCGCCGAUAGAGCGGCCCGCGUCCGAUUAGCUGGUUGGUGGGGUAACGGCCUACCAAGGCGACGAUCGGUAGCUGGUCUUAGAGGAUG
This 270-nucleotide ribosomal RNA is filed under the name uncultured bacterium. RNAcentral's name for it is "partial 16S ribosomal RNA". It matches the Rfam family "Bacterial small subunit ribosomal RNA", at positions 28 to 302 of the family's 1533-position model. The record is from RNAcentral.